This 327-nucleotide ribosomal RNA is filed under the name Triticum aestivum (bread wheat). Its description in RNAcentral is "partial small subunit ribosomal RNA". Lineage: Eukaryota; Viridiplantae; Streptophyta; Magnoliopsida; Poales; Poaceae. The record is from RNAcentral.
AUGUUCAUGAAACCUGACAACCUGAACUUCAAAAGGAGUAUGUGGAUUCUCAACGGGAGGAGCUCCGUUCGUCGUCUGCCAACAAGGUGGAUGAAGUUAACCGAAGUUCAAAUAUUGUGUCAGACAAGGUUCUUCUACUUAGUGCAUUACAGUAAAAAAAGUAGCCAAAAUGCAAAAUGGGAGGACUCCUGUAACAUUUUUACUAGAGCAUAUGAACGAACAUGUAGACAUUCAACUGUAACAUCACAUUUCUAUUGGAAAAUACAUUCAAUCAAAAACAAAUUUGGCAAAUUACUCCCAAAAGCACCAGAAAUCAUGAAAAAUUAA